Suricata suricatta (meerkat) is the source of this 383-nucleotide long non-coding RNA. RefSeq lists it as uncharacterized. Lineage: Eukaryota; Metazoa; Chordata; Mammalia; Carnivora; Herpestidae. The transcript has 3 exons. The record is from RefSeq and is a predicted model, not a curated record.
GUCUUCUCAACACACUUCAACUUCCUUGUCGUCAGUGGCACACCAAUGAAAGGCCAUGAACACAGUGAGAAGGUGGUCAUCUGCAAGCAGGAGAGCUCUCACCAGAAACCAAAUGGGCCAGAACUUUGAUCUUGGACACCCAGCCUCCAGAACUACAACUCCUGGCCACAGAAAAUGGCGCCCACCCAGCAUACUGCCCACGGCUGUCACUCCCAUGGCAGCUGAUGGCUCACCGGGAUUCGUGCUCACGUGGAGUGCCCAAUACACCUCUGAACGACAGCAGUGGACUGUCAUUGAUUUUUGCAUUAUAAUUUGUAUAUUUAUCCCACCAACAAGGUGCUCAGUGUGGGGCAUAUAUUAUAAAUAAAACACUUUGCUCUUGA